CGUAGGUGGCAAGCGUUGUCCGGAUUUAUUGGGCGUAAAGCGAGCGCAGGCGGUUUCUUAAGUCUGAUGUGAAAGCCCCGGCUCAACCGGGGAGGGUCAUUGGAAACUGGGAGACUUGAGUGCAGAAGAGGAGAGUGGAAUUCCAUGUGUAGCGGUGAAAUGCGUAGAUAUAUGGAGGAACACCAGUGGCGAAGGCGGCUCUCUGGUCUGUAACUGACGCUGAGGCUCGAAAGCGUGGGAGCAAACAGGAUU
Molecule: ribosomal RNA, 252 nt
Filed under: uncultured bacterium
Lineage: Bacteria
Description: partial 16S ribosomal RNA
Rfam family: Bacterial small subunit ribosomal RNA
Source: RNAcentral